AUUGAACGCUGGCGGCAGGCUUAACACAUGCAAGUCGAGCGGAGAUGAGGUGCUUGCACCUUAUCUUAGCGGCGGACGGGUGAGUAAUGCUUAGGAAUCUGCCUAUUAGUGGGGGACAACAUUCCGAAAGGAAUGCUAAUACCGCAUACGUCCUACGGGAGAAAGCAGGGGAUCUUCGGACCUUGCGCUAAUAGAUGAGCCUAAGUCGGAUUAGCUAGUUGGUGGGGUAAAGGCCUACCAAGGCGACGAUCUGUAGCGGGUCUGAGAGGAUGAUCCGCCACACUGGGACGGAGACACGGCCCAGACUCCUACGGGAGGUAGCAGGGGGGAAUAUUGGACAAUGGGGGGAACCCUGAUCCAGCCAUGCCGCGUGUGUGAAGAAGGCCUUAUGGUUGUAAAGCACUUUAAGCGAGGAGGAGGCUACUGAGACUAAUACUCUUGGAUAGUGGACGUUACUCGCAGAAUAAGCACCGGCUAACUCUGUGCCAGCCGCCGCCGUAA
RNAcentral lists this ribosomal RNA (501 nucleotides) under uncultured bacterium. RNAcentral describes it as "partial 16S ribosomal RNA". It matches the Rfam family "Bacterial small subunit ribosomal RNA", at positions 30 to 523 of the family's 1533-position model. The record is from RNAcentral.